This 426-nucleotide ribosomal RNA is filed under the name uncultured bacterium. Its description in RNAcentral is "bacterial SSU rRNA". It matches the Rfam family "Bacterial small subunit ribosomal RNA", at positions 355 to 774 of the family's 1533-position model. The record is from RNAcentral.
UGGGGAAUAUUGGACAAUGGGGGCAACCCUGAUCCAGCCAUGCCGCGUGAGUGAAGAAGGCCUUCGGGUUGUAAAGCUCUUUCAGCCGGGAAGAAAUCGCAUCAGCUAAUACCUGGUGUGGAUGACGGUACCGGAAUAAGAAGCACCGGCUAACUACGUGCCAGCAGCCGCGGUAAUACGUAGGGUGCGAGCGUUAAUCGGAAUUACUGGGCGUAAAGCGUGCGCAGGCGGUUGUGUAAGACAGGCGUGAAUCCCCGGGCUCAACCUGGGAACUGCGUUUGUGACUGCACAGCUAGAGUAUGGCAGAGGGAGGUGGAAUUCCACGUGUAGCAGUGAAAUGCGUAGAGAUGUGGAGGAACACCGAUGGCGAAGGCAGCCCCCUGGGCCAAUACUGACGCUCAUGCACGAAAGCGUGGGUAGCAAACA